ACGUCGCAGAAGUAUAAUUAUGCGACGCACGGUCCUUUUAUUUUUUUUCUCCCUUUUCUCGCUGGGUUCCUAAUCCCUUCACGACACUUUAUGCCUCCCUUCUCUUUCUCUCUCAUCCUCUUCUUUUCGGAUCUCCAUUGGUUGGAGCUCCUAACACCUCUCCAUCUCCCCUUCUAAAAACUCAGUAUCAAGCUUAUCUUUCAAAAUCUCCUCUCACCAUACGAGGUAAGCAAAACCCCCUUUUUUCUCCAACAUCGUCAAUCAACAACAAUCAAAAACCCUAAAAAUAAUUUUUUUAAUUUUCUUGGUCGUGGAGAUCGGCGGUUAACAAGUUAUGGACGUUACUGAUUUUGUCGGUCGCGGCAGUGGUGAAUUGCACAGACAUCACCGAUUUCUCCUUGCAAUUUCAUUAAGAGUGUAAGGAAGAUGAAAACAUCUGCACUCACAGAUGAGGAGAAAGCUCGUAUUCAGCAGGGACUAAAAAGCAUUCAAACUUGGCUAGUAAUAAGCAUUCAAACCAGGUACUAACGUAUUAUUAGUCAACAAUAGUUCUCUUGAUCAAGACAAAAGAAGAAAUGGUAAUAAGAGCAAGUGGACCAUGUUACUGGAAAACGGACAUUGAGUCACAUAAAUCAUGUGUGGGUCAACAAAAAGCUGGGAACACGAGUUUUUUAAUGCAAUUAUGCAGUACUUCACUCGCACUGUUCUCUUUUUCAAGGCAUCAAGUCAUGGUUGUUGCUCUCUGCCUACCGCAUCUCUCAAAGAGAAAUAAAAAGAAUAAACCAAGAGAAUGAGCCACAUUGGUCCUGUAGCUCUGCUCCCAUGGUGGACAUGUUGCAGCUGCUCUUCCUUCUAUUUACAAGAACGGCGAAGGAUGUGGUGCUUGCUUUCAGGUAAGGUGCAAGAACAGUGAUGUAUGCAGUCUAAAAGGGACAAGGAUAGUAGUGACUGAUAUCCAUACUGAUAAGAACAACAUCACAGACUUUGUGCUAAGUAGCAGUUGCCGAUUUAGAGCGCAAUUGGGUGAGAAAGAGAAGGCAUGAGUCGUUGCUACAACUCUUGCUGAAACCUACAGUCAAAACUAUGACAUGAGUAGUUGCUACAACUCUUGCUGAAACGCGAGUCCAAUCCAAUGAGAGAGGCAUGAAAGACCGCACUGCUCUGCAUGUUGCAGCUGCCAAUGGAAUGGAAAUUGUGUUUCUAUCCUGCUGACUGCUGGGGUGGAUCCAAACUCCAAAGGUACUAUUUACUCUAAAAACAAUCUUCUUUCUUUCUUUCAUGUCCCUUUUGUGAUUUAUCCAGUAAUAUAUUAACGAACAGUUGGAGCUAGCUAGUGAUUUAUAGUUGAUAUCUAGUCUAUAAACGUGCUCUUUCAUGUCUCCUUUGAGUCUAUUAUGCUUGUUUAAGACCAAUAAAUUCUUACAGACCAAAAUGUAUUACAGUUUCUUAGUUGGGCCAUAAAAAUUGAGUUGUUGUGUCAUUAAUCAUUAUAACAAUUUUGUUGGGACAACAAGUACUCGUCUAGUGGGUUGAAGUUUUACACCCCUUGAUAAAGCUGAAACUCAUCUAGUGGGUUGAAAUUUUGCUCUCACAUGUCUUAAAUUCUUAUUGUCUAAGCUGCUGAAACUGAGAACGCAGAUUUCAUGCUCUUGUAUUAGAUGGAACCGCUUUGCUAGUGGCUGAUUUCGUGAAGGUUGGUUUUCUACUCACGAUCUGCACACCAAAACCUAUUUGACUAACAUACUAAAUGCACUUUUCUCAUCACUUUCUACGCCUUGGCCAUGAUUGUUGGGACGUUGCUCAAUACUACAUUAGAAGCAAGGGAAACACUAGAAGAUUAUGGGCAGCAACUAUUUUUUAUAUUUUUUUUUGUUGGGUGUCAAGAGAAACCGUUAGAUGGAAUACAUUGUUGUAGAUAUUUCAAGCUUUUGUAUUGUAAGAUUUAUGAAGGUAGUCUUUAUGUAUUUAGUCUUAUUGUAAGCUUUUGUAUUGUAAGAUUUAUGAAGGUAUUGUCUUUAUGUA
Molecule: long non-coding RNA, 2022 nt
Organism: Spinacia oleracea (spinach)
Lineage: Eukaryota; Viridiplantae; Streptophyta; Magnoliopsida; Caryophyllales; Amaranthaceae
Exons: 8
Source: RefSeq, a predicted model, not a curated record